Molecule: long non-coding RNA, 3441 nt
Organism: Larimichthys crocea (large yellow croaker)
Lineage: Eukaryota; Metazoa; Chordata; Actinopteri; Sciaenidae
Exons: 3
Source: RefSeq, a predicted model, not a curated record
GGGGAGGGAACAAGGAAACACCUGAGCAGAGAGGAGCUGGCUGUGUUUGAGAGCAGGAAGAAGAGGGAGGGCUUAUCAAGAGCUGAGUCAUUCCAGGAAGAGGAGCUUGUAAAUGAUCUGUAGAGUUCAUACACUUUGAUCGCUGUGAAGAAAAUAGUUCAUGUUAAAGUUUCACCUGGAAAUGAGUCCAAAAGAAACCAGAAGACUUUUCUAAAACACGGCUGAUCUGAAGGUGAAAUAAAGGUAAAUCCUCCAGUCAGUGACAAUCAUCAGCCCAACAACCACUAAUAAAGGCAAUCAUUUCAUCUUCUUCAUCUUCAGUGAUGAAAUCCUCGACUGUCUGUAAAAGGUGAGCUGUCAGAGACGAGGACUACAAACACAGGAGCAUCACCAGCUGCCAUUUUGUCACCUUUGUUCUUUUCUUUGGAAACCACUGGUGGGCGUGGCCUCAGCUCACUGAUUAUGGCACACCUGCACCCCAUCAAGCACCUGACUCCCAUCCUGCAAUCACCGCUGCCCAGCUCUCCAGUCCUCGUUGGAUUGUUUGUGUACUCAGAAGUUUUGUCCUGUUUUCCUUGGAUCACCCGUACACCCUGCAAGUCAGCGCCGACACCUGGAUCCAACUCCGUCCUGCUCUGCCAGUCCCCCACUGCUCAUCCACAAUGGAACCCAAACCCAGCCUCGAUCUCACCCCCACUCUCUGUUCGGUAUAUUCUGAUUGUUUCGGCAAAUAAACCAUUGUUACUUCCUCAUCAGCUACAUCUGCUUUUCUAAGCCUGACAAGUUUUAAUGCACAAUUACUGUAUGUUUACUGUGUUUCAUGCUGCUACUGGAUGCAACAUAUUUAAAAUGUACAGAGCUGCAAAAUGAACAAACGUGAAACAAAGCAGUUAUUCUGUAUAUUUAUUGAUAAUAAGACCACUGAUGGUGACUUAGUCAAUAGUAGACAGCAGGGUGCAGUUCUUUUUGAGUGUCUGGUGACCCCAUGUGUAAGCAGGAUGGUAUUACAAUUUAGUAUUUACAAGGACAAUAUCAGUUUGAAGGGGAGGGGGAAGGAAAAACGGGUUUCAUACAUUCACUAAAUAAAUGUACAGCUUUAAAAGCAAAUAGGGUUUGAGAAGCCACAACCAAAUACUGACCAAAACAGGAUCCACGAAAUCUAGAUGAUCUCUCUCUCUCUCACACACACACACACCUUGUCAUACAAGGAAAAUACACAAUCAAAAGGUUUAAGGAGUCACACACACAAGGCAGGAGAGAUCACUUAGUGAAACUGUAAACUUAAUGCCAAACCGAACCAUGAUAAUAAUAAUAAUCAUAAAUAUACAGCUAAAUUGAAACAGCUACAUGUUUGCACGUUACUCUCAACAGAACAUUGGCCACAAUUAUUUUUUUCAGUGCAAUUGUUUACCUAUAAACUAUCAAACAAAUACCGAUUAACAGCACAAAGUGCGGAAUCAAAACGGUGACUCGACGUUUAUACCGGUUAGCAUAUUAUAAUGAGAAACAUUACAUCAUAUAAAUUACAUUUCCAAUAAAUAUCUACAGAUGAUGACGAUGAUGUUCAUGGCGUGUUGAUGCACUACAUAGAAUACUGUAAAUACUAGAUUAACACUGUUGGAGCCCUGCGCAUGUCGAUCAUUUCACACUUUUCUCACUCGUUCUUAACCCGGAUUAUUUAAUACGACCCGUGCAGGCUGUAAAUCGUUGAGUUUGUUGCACCUGUAGCCACAUCUGACAGGUACGCCUCUACAUCGCUGCAACAAGGUGAGAUAUUUAACCGACAGAGGUCAGCGAAAACGAGAUUUUUUAGCAGCUGCUUAGUCGGUCUUUAAAGCUAAAUUGUAAAAUUGAAUUGCUUACUUUGAGAAAGACAAAAUCUGACACAUUACUAAGGUGCCGGUCUGCUUCAAACGAACACACCUUUCAUCAGAUUUGUUGGGCAGAUCGGUCAGGUGUGUUGAUUUAAACCUCCAUUCCGACUUCUGUCACUUUUAGGGUACAUUCAGACAGGAUCGGGCGCGGCGUGGUGGCGUGUGGGUAACGUAACCGCUGUGAAACAAUCAGGAAAUAACUUUUUAUUUAGCUGAUUAACGACUUUAUCGAUGCCAGCGCUCGCUCACUCUCAUUCACUGUCUGUGUCUCUCAACCCGUGCUGACGCAAAGCAAAUUAAACUUGUUCGUGUCUCUAUUUUGUGGCCUAAAUUGCGAGCUAGACUAGAUUUAGAAGCUGGUUCAUGGAAUAAAAGUCAUAACACAACGGAGUUUCGACAGUCUCAGGAGAGAGACUAUCUUCAGAGACAUUUCAGGCCGACUGUGGAGGUUUCACCGGACACCCCCCGUGGCCAAAAUGCACUACCCCCACUCAGAUAAAUGGAAAAACCUGCAGCGCCGCAUCCUGUCUGGAUGCACCCUCAAUCUGACCACCAGGUGCAACGCGAUGAAUGCCUUUGCGGAGAGGCUUUCAUAUGAUUCAUUGCAUGUUUUUUCUGCAAGGUUUUCAAGCCGGGUCUCACCAUGCAUUGACCUUUGAGGGGGCGGGGGGUGAGGACAAGAGUGCAACAACACUGAGGAAGCUAUUUCUGCCUGUUAGCUGUGUUUCAUCUUCCUUCAACUGCUCCAAACAAUGAGGAAGUCUCUCAGACAGUCAAUGGUGUAAGUUCGUCUUUUGAAUAAACACAGUGUGAACUUAUUGUCCCGAUAGCGACCAAGAUGACGUUAGAAAGCACUGUGUGGUGUGCGUUCAUCUACUUUGUGGCAGAUUUGUUCCACCUCAAUUGUUUAUUUUGCUCAUGUUAGCGUCAUUUUAAGCAUGUAAAGUAGAGCAAAGUGGAGGGUUUACUGGGGGAAGAUUCCCAUUUCGAAUCCGAACUGAUGAUGAGUUACAAUUUUAAGAUGUAAUGUAUCUCAUAAUUUGCUAUUUUAGUUAAAUGAUCUGGUCAAAAAAACACCAUGCCUCGUCUACAGGUACAAAUUCUCCCUUUUCUCUCCGUUGUCAGUUUCCCUAUGUUUCAUAUAAACUUAAAAUAUUAUCCUCGGUACACGUAAUCAGUUCACAAAAUGUCACAACCAUAGGAAUAUACAAUGGUGAGCGAUAGCAAAGUCAAAUGCAAAACUAAACCUAUCUAUUAAAGUAUUACUUUCAAGCUUUAGUAAUGUCAUUCUGUACAAAGAUGUGCAGUGGUCCUCUGAUGACGGUCGGUGAAGCAUGCUGCAACAGACUGAGAAGCCGAGUUGCACCCAAUCACCUAUCUGAGACCAAGACUGCUGUCAACUCCCGACAAGUCUGGUUUUAACCCGCCCGUUGAAGGUCGUAGGCUGUAGUGAUCCGAGAUAUGUGCCAAUGAGCAACUUCUACAUCAAGCAGCGGUGUGAUGUGACGUGUGGUAUAGAACGUUUUGAUGCAACAGCAGUGAGUCAAGGAAUGGUGCUUUACAAUAA